Molecule: ribosomal RNA, 492 nt
Filed under: uncultured bacterium
Lineage: Bacteria
Description: partial 16S ribosomal RNA
Rfam family: Bacterial small subunit ribosomal RNA
Source: RNAcentral
AGUGAACGCUGGCGGUAGGCCUAACACAUGCAAGUCGAACGGCAGCACAGUAAGAGCUUGCUCUUACGGGUGGCGAGUGGCGGACGGGUGAGGAAUACAUCGGAAUCUACUUUUUCGUGGGGGAUAACGUAGGGAAACUUACGCUAAUACCGCAUACGACCUACGGGUGAAAGCAGGGGAUCUUCGGACCUUGCGCGAUUGAAUGAGCCGAUGUCGGAUUAGCUAGUUGGCGGGGUAAAGGCCCACCAAGGCGACGAUCCGUAGCUGGUCUGAGAGGAUGAUCAGCCACACUGGAACUGAGACACGGUCCAGACUACUACGGGAGGCCGCAGUGGGGAAUAUUGGACAAUGGGCGCAAGCCUGAUCCAGCCAUACCGCGUGGGUGAAGAAGGCCUUCGGGUUGUAAAGCCCUUUUGUUGGGAAAGAAAAGCAGCAGGUUAAUACCCCGCUGUUCUGACGGUACCCAAAGAAUAAGCACCGGCUAACUUCGUG